CCCACCUUAAUCAGUAAGAGAUACUAUAUAGUUCUCAGCAUACUUUGCCAAGGACUUUACUAACAUGAUUGAUACAUUUGGCAUUAAUCUUCCCUUUUUCUGUUCUGUGAUUUAGGUUAUGAUGGGGCAGUGCCUGAGAGAACUGUAGCACCAGUGAGCCAGAUCCUACUUUCCACUGUAAAAUUCCUUUUCCUAUUGGGGGUUUCAUGCUUAGCCUCUUACUGUUAGUGUGAGGGCAAAAUGUGUCUGACCCAAAGAUUUUCUAAUAGGAUGUCCUGGGAAGGCCAGUCAGCCAAAAACAUCAUUGGAUGUUCAUUUUGUUCCCUAGUUUAAAAAGAGAAAAGCAAAUCACACCUUAUAUGUGAUGCCAUAAAUUGUGCUUUCUUUGGUCAAUUAUGAAGAGUGUGCAUUGGAUUUUAACAUGUUGAUCUUUGACUCUGGGGGUUGAGGUAUUUUACAAUCAUCAAAUCACCUGGUUUGCUUCCAGUAUAAUCAUUUAAUUAAGGUAUUAAAAACUUAAUGAAGGCUACAUGGAAAGUAUUAAUAUUAAUAUAUAACAUUUAUUGAAUGUUAGCACAGCCCAAGGAAUUGAACAAAGCACAAAAUUACAGUGCCUGCCAGUUAGCUUAGCACACAUCAGCCAAAAUUUUUAAGCUGUUAAUAAAAAAAAAAAAAACUAGAAUGUGCCUUUAUAAACACUGAAGAAUAAAACCUAACUAAAAAAAUUUGGUUGAUCUCUUUCACCAAAACUCAUUAUCGUUGAUCUAUUUCAGUCACACCUUUUUGGAAAUACUACUUUCACUGUCUUCACAAGUGUAUCAACAUGCACUGGAAUAACUCAAUAUUCCUGUCAAAUUAGCAAUGCCCUGGGAGCUGGAUUAUGCUCCAAGACACUGAAUCUGAAAAGAUGCAUCCAGUUUUGCCAAGGGAUUUCACCACCAAGGCCAGCCCUCACCUAUGACAGACCCAAGAAAGAUCAUUUGUAACUAGAAUCUAGCCAUUUAUGAACCUGUGUGCUCCCUGGGUGGGCCAUCUGCACUGGUCUGAGGUUUAUCUCAUUCACAUGAAGUCCAAAGGAAUCUUCUUGAAUAUC
This 1093-nucleotide long non-coding RNA is filed under the name Callithrix jacchus (white-tufted-ear marmoset). Its description in RNAcentral is "lncRNA (ENSCJAG00000080219.1)". Lineage: Eukaryota; Metazoa; Chordata; Mammalia; Primates; Cebidae. The record is from RNAcentral.